GGCUGUGUAGUGUAAUCCGGGAGCACAUCAUCCUUGCAAGAUGAAGGAGGAGUUCAAAUCUCACACGGUCCA
This 72-nucleotide transfer RNA is filed under the name Caudoviricetes sp. Its description in RNAcentral is "tRNA-Ala". It matches the Rfam family "tRNA". Rfam says of the family: Transfer RNA (tRNA) molecules are approximately 80 nucleotides in length. The record is from RNAcentral. Lineage: Duplodnaviria; Heunggongvirae; Uroviricota; Caudoviricetes.